GGUGAACGCUGGCGGCGUGCCUAAUACAUGCAAGUCGAGCGAACAGAUAAGGAGCUUGCUCCUUUGACGUUAGCGGCGGACGGGUGAGUAACACGUGGGUAACCUACCUAUAAGACUGGAAUAACUCCGGGAAACCGGGGCUAAUGCCGGAUAACAUUUAGAACCGCAUGGUUCUAAAGUGAAAGAUGGUUUUGCUAUCACUUAUAGAUGGACCCGCGCCGUAUUAGCUAGUUGGUAAGGUAACGGCUUACCAAGGCAACGAUACGUAGCCGACCUGAGAGGGGGGGCGGCCACACGGAAACGGAACCAGGCGCCAGACUCCUGCGGGCGGCAGGAGUGGGAAAUCUUCCGCAAGGGGGAAAAGCCUGAGGGAGCAACGCCGCGUGAGUGAUGAAGUUCUUCGGAUCGUAAAACUCUUUUAUGGGGGAAAAAAAAUUGUGAAAGUAACUGUGCACGUCUUGAGGUAACCUAAUAAAAAAGCCGGGGCUAACUACGUC
This 497-nucleotide ribosomal RNA is filed under the name uncultured bacterium. RNAcentral's name for it is "partial 16S ribosomal RNA". It matches the Rfam family "Bacterial small subunit ribosomal RNA", at positions 28 to 507 of the family's 1533-position model. The record is from RNAcentral.